RNAcentral lists this ribosomal RNA (1286 nucleotides) under metagenome. RNAcentral describes it as "bacterial SSU rRNA". It matches the Rfam family "Bacterial small subunit ribosomal RNA", at positions 242 to 1520 of the family's 1533-position model. The record is from RNAcentral.
UAGCUAGUUGGUGAGGUAAAGGCUUACCAAGGCGACGAUCUGUAGCGGGUCUGAGAGGAUGAUCCGCCACACUGGAACUGAGACACGGUCCAGACUCCUACGGGAGGCAGCAGUGGGGAAUUUUGGACAAUGGGGGCAACCCUGAUCCAGCCAUGCCGCGUGAGUGAAGAAGGCCUUCGGGUUGUAAAGCCCUUUCGGCCGGGAAGAAAUCGCAUGGGCCAAUACCCUGUGUGGAUGACGGUACCGGAAUAAGAAGCACCGGCUAACUACGUGCCAGCAGCCGCGGUAAUACGUAGGGUGCGAGCGUUAAUCGGAAUACUGGGCGUAAAGCGUGCGCAGGCGGUUUUGUAAGACAGGCGUGAAAUCCCCGGGCUUAACCUGGGAACUGCGUUUGUGACUGCAAGGCUAGAGUACGGCAGAGGGGGGUGGAAUUCCACGUGUAGCAGUGAAAUGCGUAGAGAUGUGGAGGAACACCAAUGGCGAAGGCAGCCCCCUGGGUCGAUACUGACGCUCAUGCACGAAAGCGUGGGUAGCAAACAGGAUUAGAUACCCUGGUAGUCCACGCCCUAAACUGUGUCAACUAGGUGUUGGGUGGGUAAAACCAUUUAGUACCGUAGCUAACGCGUGAAGUUGACCGCCUGGGGAGUACGGCCGCAAGGUUAAAACUCAAAGGAAAUGACGGGGACCCGCACAAGCGGUGGAUGAUGUGGAUUAAUUCGAUGCAACGCGAAAAACCUUACCUACCCUUGACAUGCCAGGAACUUGCCAGAGAUGGCUUGGUGCCCGAAAGGGAGCCUGAACACAGGUGCUGCAUGGCUGUCGUCAGCUCGUGUCGUGAGAUGUUGGGUUAAGUCCCGCAACGAGCGCAACCCUUGUCGUUAAUUGCCAUCAUUUAGUUGGGCACUUUAACGAGACUGCCGGUGACAAACCGGAGGAAGGUGGGGAUGACGUCAAGUCCUCAUGGCCCUUAUGGGUAGGGCUUCACACGUCAUACAAUGGUCGGUACAAAGGGUUGCCAAGCCGCGAGGCGGAGCCAAUCCCAGAAAGCCGAUCGUAGUCCGGAUUGCAGGCUGCAACUCGCCUGCAUGAAGUCGGAAUCGCUAGUAAUCGUGGACCAGCAUGUCACGGUGAAUACGUUCCCGGGUCUUGUACACACCGCCCGUCACACCAUGGGAGCGGGUUCCGCCAGAAGUAGGUAGCCUAACCGCAAGGGGGGCGCUUACCACGGCGGGGUUCGUGACUGGGGUGAAGUCAUAACAAGGUAGCCGUAGGGGAACCUGCGGCUG